UACGUAGGGUGCAAGCGUUGUCCGGAAUUAUUGGGCGUAAAGAGCUCGUAGGCGGUCUGUCGCGUCUGCUGUGAAAACCUAGGGCUUAACUCUGGGCGUGCAGUGGGUACGGGCAGGCUAGGAGUGCGGUAGGGGAGACUGGAAUUCCUGGUGUAGCGGUGAAAUGCGCAGAUAUCAGGAGGACACCGGUGGCGAAGGCGGGUCUCUGGGCCGUAACUGACGCUGGAGGAGCGAAAGCAUGGGGAGCGAACAGG
RNAcentral lists this ribosomal RNA (254 nucleotides) under uncultured bacterium. RNAcentral's name for it is "partial 16S ribosomal RNA". It matches the Rfam family "Bacterial small subunit ribosomal RNA", at positions 524 to 776 of the family's 1533-position model. The record is from RNAcentral.